Molecule: ribosomal RNA, 443 nt
Filed under: uncultured bacterium
Lineage: Bacteria
Description: partial 16S ribosomal RNA
Rfam family: Bacterial small subunit ribosomal RNA
Source: RNAcentral
CCUACGGGUGGCAGCAGUGGGGAAUAUUGGGCAAUGGAGGCAACUCUGACCCAGCAACGCCGCGUGAAUGAUGAAGGUCUUCGGAUUGUAAAGUUCUGUGAUGGGGGAGGAACACAAUGACGGUACCCCAAUAGCAAGCCACGGCUAACUACGUGCCAGCAGCCGCGGUAAUACGUAGGUGGCAAGCGUUAUCCGGAAUGACUGGGCGUAAAGGGGGCGUAGGUGGUUUAGUAAGUUGGCGGUGUAAUUCCGGGGCUCAACCUCGGCGCUACCGCCAAAACUAUUAGACUAGAGUGCAGGAGGGGUCAGUGGAAUUCCUAGUGUAGCGGUGAACUGCAUAGAUAUCGCGCAGAACUCCGAUUGCGAAGGCAGCGUACCGGCGCCGGACUGACGCUGAGGCACGAAAGCGUGGGUAUCGAACAGGAUUAGAUACCCUGGUAGUC